This 253-nucleotide ribosomal RNA is filed under the name uncultured bacterium. Its description in RNAcentral is "partial 16S ribosomal RNA". It matches the Rfam family "Bacterial small subunit ribosomal RNA", at positions 524 to 776 of the family's 1533-position model. The record is from RNAcentral.
UACGUAGGGUGCAAGCGUUAAUCGGAAUUACUGGGCGUAAAGCGUGCGCAGGCGGUUUUGUAAGACAGAGGUGAAAUCCCCGGGCUCAACCUGGGAACUGCCUUUGUGACUGCAAGGCUUGAGUGCGGCAGAGGGGGAUGGAAUUCCGCGUGUAGCAGUGAAAUGCGUAGAUAUGCGGAGGAACACCGAUGGCGAAGGCAAUCCCCUGGGCCUGCACUGACGCUCAUGCACGAAAGCGUGGGGAGUAAACAGG